RNAcentral lists this non-coding RNA (148 nucleotides) under Macaca nemestrina (pig-tailed macaque). The record is from Rfam by way of RNAcentral. Lineage: Eukaryota; Metazoa; Chordata; Mammalia; Primates; Cercopithecidae.
GCUGGGUGUGGUGGCGCACGCCUGUAGUCCCAGCUACUCAGGAGGCUGAGGCAGGAGAAUUGCUUGAACCCAGGAGGCGGAGGUUGCAGUGAGCCAAGAUUGCACCACUGCACUCCAGCCUGGGCAACAGAGUGAGACUCCGUCUCAA